CAUGGGGCACCAUCAUGGAAAAAAGGGGGAAUUUAUAUUACAGAAGGAAAAAAAUCCCAACAAUACUAUUAUAUUAUUAUUUGCAUUUACUUUUAGGGAUGAUAUUAAUUUUUAUAUUCACAUAAGAAGCUAUAUACAUGCUACUAGUAAUGAUUCAACUGCAUGGAACAUGAGAGAGACAUGAGAAACUAUACUCCCAUAGCAGUGGUAAGAGUAUGAAUUGAUCAAACUUUCGCAAAAGAAAAAUAGUAGUUUAUUUUACAACCAAAAAUAUGCUUUUCCCCUUGCUUUAGCAAUCAUACCUGAGGGAGUUUAAUUUAUAUUAAAUAGCAAAUAAAUAUUAGAGGAAGACACAAUAUUUGCAAGUUUAUGUAAUUGGAAGAGGGGGAGAGCACAUGGGCUAUAAAAGAUAGAAAAAUCUUCUAUAUAAAGUAUGACUUUGGCCUUGAAUAGCAAUGCCAUUCUUCAGCUCUGAAUUUCUUUUAUAAUCCAGGUCCUGCUUACAGCCAUUUUGCUGUUUUUAUUUCAUCUGCAGGUCAUUUCUCCACAAAGAAUAAUCAGAAUUUCCAGGAACUACACACAUAUUCAAAAAUUCUGAAAAAAAAAGUUCUGUCUCUGCUUUGUCUUCUUGAUAGCCUUUCACAAGAAAUAGUUACAAAAUCAAAUGAAAAAAAAUGAAUGCAAUAAGAGAAGAUGUUUUAGUGUCAGAUAUCCUAGAGAACUUUGGAUAUCAAUGUUAUGUUUAAUUUAUGUAGUAGCCUAAACACUUACCCACUAUGUUGUGAUUAUGGCUGGUAAGUGCCAUUCUUCAGAGCUAAUUCAUUUAGAAUAUGUUGAGAAAAAAUUCUGUGGGCAGAAAUAACUAAGGAUAAUUGAACUCUUGAGCUUUUUGUCAGAGAACUGGCUCUACACAUCUCAUGUAAUAACCAAGAGGAAGCUGACAAUUUGUUACAUCCUGCACUUGUUUCUGGGAAGUUUAUGGUUGCGUAGGACAUUGGUCCAAUUGUAGUGGUGUGCAUUGUGGUCAAUACCUGCUAAUGCUCAGACAGGCACCAGACUUUCUCAGAAGUCAGUCCUUCCUCACCUAGACUGCUUCCUCACAGCCACAUCACCUGAAUAAUCCUCAGUGUUUUGCCUAUCUGGCUAAUCAUCGACCAGCAGCCAGAGUUACCAGACAGAGUCCAUCCUCAUAAGAAUAAGUCACUUGAGAAAGAUGAAGUCAGUGUGUGGCUUCUUCUUAAAAGAAUGUGAUAGAUUUUGUGAAGAUAAUAUCUUGGAUACAAAAAAGGAGCAAUAUUUCUGAAAGGAUCUCCUUUUAUCUUUAGUAAUAGCUUUUAUACGUCAAUAGAGGAAAGGAGACUGGGUCCUAGCACAUGGGGAAACUCACUUGUUCGAUGCCACUUGACCUCCUAAGUUGAACUAGAAAACAUAGAAUGCAAAUUUUAUCCAUAGGACACUUCCAAGAAUUACAUAUUUUUCCGUAGUCAUGCUUAAUCUGAUUUAAGGCUAAUAAAAUAUUAAACAUUUCCAACUUUUAAAAAUAUGUAAGUCCCAUGGUCCGAACAUGUAGGAAGCACAUAUAAAUACUUGUGUGUUUUUUUUUUUCCCAAGGAAGCAGAUUACCUCUUAUAACACCCUUCAUACUCAGGCCAGUAUAGUCGGGUCAAGUAUAGGUAUCAAGUAAGAUUGACUAUUAAAGAAAGCUCUUUGUUCUGGAGUCUAAAUGAUCUCUCCAGGUAGAAUUAUUUUUUCCCUAACUCUGGCAUUAUAUCAGGAUUACUCUAAUAUUCUUUGUUGGGAUAUGAAAUCAUCUUUUGGAGCAGAAGAACAUAAAAUUAUUUUUUAUAACAUGUUGCCCCAAAUCUUUGUCUCAUUUAUUCUAUUUUCCUUUAAAUGAAAAAUAAAACAUAUAUUUCACUUAGGCUUUAUCAUAACAGUGGGGAUACCUAUAUCAUGACUGAUAAACAAUUAUGACAUCCUUAUUCACAGUAUGGGAGUUUUUUCUAUAAAUAUUCUACCGUGUGGGUUCAUAUUCCCUAUCUCAAUGUGCAUUUUU
Molecule: long non-coding RNA, 2056 nt
Filed under: Canis lupus familiaris (dog)
Lineage: Eukaryota; Metazoa; Chordata; Mammalia; Carnivora; Canidae
Description: lncRNA (ENSCAFG00000050976.1)
Source: RNAcentral